CCUACGGGGGGCAGCAGUGGGGGAUAUUGCACAAUGGGGGGAACCCUGAUGCAGCGACGCCGCGUGGGUGAAGAAGCGCCUCGGCGCGUAAAGCCCUGUCAGCAGGGAAGAAAAUGACGGUACCUGAAGAAGAAGCCCCGGCUAACUACGUGCCAGCAGCCGCGGUAAUAAGUAGGGGGCAAGCGUGAUCCGGAUUUACUGGGGGGAAGGGGGGCGCAGACGGCGAUGCAGCCCAGGAGUGAAAGCCCGGGGCCCAACCCCGGGACUGCACUUGGCACUGCGUGGCUGGAGUGUAGGAGGGGCAGGCGGAAUUCCUGGUGUAGCGGUGAAAUGCGUAGAUAUCAGGAGGAACACCGGUGGCGAAGGCGGCCUGCUGGACUGCAACUGACGUUGAGGCCCGAAAGCGUGGGGAGCAAACAGGAUUAGAUACCCCUGUAGUC
This 440-nucleotide ribosomal RNA is filed under the name uncultured bacterium. RNAcentral describes it as "partial 16S ribosomal RNA". It matches the Rfam family "Bacterial small subunit ribosomal RNA", at positions 338 to 795 of the family's 1533-position model. The record is from RNAcentral.